AGAGGAUUGUGGAUGAUAAGGAAACUCGAGAGAUAAUUUCUCUCAUAAUGUCUCCGUGAUGCUCCGUGAUGGGAAUAAGAGCCGGACAUCGUUACAUUAAGACACAACAGAAUUACGUAAUUUGGUAUAAAUACGAGACGUGAAGAUUGAUUUGAUUAUAAAAAUAGCCUUAUCCCGUGGUUAAUCGACACAGAUUCACUUUACACUCCAUCCAACUUCCCUCUUGCAAGCCGGGUAAAUGAUGCUGCGCCUGGAUUAGAGAUAAUGGAGAGAAGAAAGUAACUGUCCACAUCAAGGCGGAACAAACUUGCACGUAGUUCGCAAUAAUGUGCCGUAUCAGACGCGGUCUGACGCAACAUGUAAUCUCGUAAAAUUCAUUUCAGGGAGUCAAAGGAGGCUUAACGAAAUAGAUGACUGCGAUUGCCUGAAGCGCACGACAGCCCGGAACAGAUUUUCCACGUAAUAAUACCUAUUAAGACUAGCUGUUACGUAUUGCCGCCAUUUGGCGGAGUUCAUUCGCUCCCGUGCGACUCGGACGUGCGCCGAAUAGCCGGCGAUAAGGAUUGCGGAAAAUAAUUAUGAUUCCGGCUCGUUAGCACAACUAUUUCUACAAUGGAUCUCUUUCUUACGACGAGAACCCGCAAUCGUCUUGCGAGGAGGGACUUGCAAGAGCUAAUGCGUUUUCCCUUGGAAUUGCGUGCAGGAAUUCGCUUAUGCAAAUGUUGAAUUAGCGAGUUAGAUGUACGUUUUAAAUUUUGACGUGUACAGGUGGCCAAUCGGCGACACGUGCCUCUGAUGACAAGAGAAUUCCCUUUUAAUGGCACUUAAUCACCUAAUUAGAAAAGAGAGAACGGAUAGUUUUAGAUUUUAUGUGCGGUUCUGGAUAAUGUAAUAACCUUAUAAAAGACAUUAGAUAAAGCACGCGAAUACGACAUUUGAAAUGUGGCUGGCGCACAUUAGAGAAAGGUUGGCCACUACUGACCUAAGGGAUUUCACGCUCUCCAAACUCGUUCGACACGAACGACGCGAUUAAUCUUUCCUCUGCGAAAUGUCGCCGCCUCCUAAUCCGAAUCACCCGAAUUCUAUCCUCUUUUAGUCUCGUCAAGCACGAAGGUGACAUGGCUCUAUCGAUAUAUUUCAUUUUACGGUAAUAUGACAAUGUGUCAUGGAAAAUCAUAUCCUUAAGUCUGAAUAAACUCAAUUGAUAAAAUAA
This 1213-nucleotide long non-coding RNA is filed under the name Pogonomyrmex barbatus (red harvester ant). RNAcentral's name for it is "uncharacterized LOC105422681, transcript variant X2". The record is from RNAcentral. Lineage: Eukaryota; Metazoa; Arthropoda; Insecta; Hymenoptera; Formicidae.